Molecule: non-coding RNA, 1194 nt
Organism: Pelodiscus sinensis (Chinese soft-shelled turtle)
Lineage: Eukaryota; Metazoa; Chordata; Testudines; Trionychidae
Source: RefSeq, a predicted model, not a curated record
ACAAAAUCAUGCCAGUCUAGACGCAGUCUACAUGUAUUAAUAUACUGUAUGCACUCAUAUUUGAAUCCUUCCAUUCAACAUUUACUGGGUGCACCACUGAUGAAGAAUUUGUUCCAGUCCUGUAAAAUUAAUAUUCCCUUCCUUUCCUUUUUCACCUUCCAAGGGGGAAUUCAGUCAGAAACAUAGUGCUACCUCCCCUUCCCUUCUCCCCACCCGCCUCACAAAACUUGAGGCAUGUUGUAUCUUGCAUAGAAGAUCCAGGGCUGAGGCGAGACUUCUACGGUCCCUGGGGGGAGCCAACUCCAGGCCCCCCAAAAGGGGCUGGGACCUUCAGCAUUUCUGGGGCCUAGGACUCGCACUGUGUGGGGCCUCAGCAGCAAUUUGAAGGGCCUGGGAGCUCUGUAGUGGUAGCAGCAGCCAGAAGCUCCUGGGGUAGCUAACCCUUUGCCUCUGCCCAAAUCAGUGGCCCUGAGGAGGUCUGUUACUCAGGGAUCAUUCUAAUAACAGUACUAACUAGCAUAUGUUACCAAGCCUGGCAACCCUCAGACAACUACUCAUUUCCAAACAUAUGAAAGGGUUACAUCUUAGACCAAUUUUACUGUUAUAGAUUUAGACUAAAUCUGCCUUGAUAGUGCUGUCCCAUUCUGGGCUGAUGACUAAAGCUAAGCUAUCCAUAUGCUUAAUUGCUUUCAUAAAUGGAGCACUAACAGUUUGUGGUAGAGAUGGUGUUACAGUUGCUAUUUAUGGAAUCAUUCCCUUAUUCCUCUUUUGUAAACUGAAAUAUUUCUCCCUAGUACUUACAGAUAUUCAGAUUGAGAAUGGUAUUUUUCCGUUAAACAUACUUGGCCUGCAAACAGCAACAGAAGGGAAAUGGAAGGCAAAGUAGAAGUAAUGAAAAGAAAUAAAGAAAAGCAGCACAAAUGAUGUGAGGCCAUUUGGAAUUUACCCAGCUCAAAGUAUUCCACCUUGUCAAUUCAACUGAGAAUUGUCAAAUAGAUAUUAUGAUGGAUAGACCUCAGGUACAGCAUAAGAUGUAAUGGAGGAACAGGUUGGUGAGGAACAGGUUGGUGAGAAUCAAACAGACUACUAUAUGUAAUGAAAAAAAUCUGUCUAUAUUCUGAAAAAGAGUCUUUUAUUGAUUUUGCUGUUUUUUCAAAAGUGUAAUAUCAAUUCCCUUAGUAAUUAUUUUACUUU